GGCGCCGUGGCUUAGUUGGUUAAAGCGCCUGUCUAGUAAACAGGAGAUCGUGGGUUCAAAUCCCACCGGUGCCU
RNAcentral lists this transfer RNA (74 nucleotides) under Limulus polyphemus (Atlantic horseshoe crab). RNAcentral's name for it is "tRNA-Thr". It matches the Rfam family "tRNA". From Rfam's summary of the family: Transfer RNA (tRNA) molecules are approximately 80 nucleotides in length. Their secondary structure includes four short double-helical elements and three loops (D, anti-codon, and T loops). Lineage: Eukaryota; Metazoa; Arthropoda; Merostomata; Xiphosura; Limulidae. The record is from RNAcentral.